UACAGAGGGUGCAAGCGUUAAUCGGAAUUACUGGGCGUAAAGCGCGCGUAGGCGGUUGUGUAAGUUGAAUGUGAAAGCCCCGGGCUUAACCUGGGAAUGCCAUUCAAAACUGCAUAACUAGAAUGUGAUAGAGGACAGUGGAAUUCCUAGUGUAGCGGUGAAAUGCGUAGAUAUUAGGAGGAACAUCAGUGGCGAAGGCGACUGUCUGGGUUAACAUUGACGCUGAGGUGCGAAAGCGUGGGUAGCGAACGGG
This 253-nucleotide ribosomal RNA is filed under the name uncultured bacterium. RNAcentral describes it as "partial 16S ribosomal RNA". It matches the Rfam family "Bacterial small subunit ribosomal RNA", at positions 524 to 776 of the family's 1533-position model. The record is from RNAcentral.